GAAUUGUUCGCAAUGGGCGCAAGCCUGACGACGCAACGCCGCGUGGAGGACGAAGAUCUUCGGGUCGUAAACUCCUGUCGAGCGGGACGAACACCAUGCGGGUGAACAAUCCGCGUGGCUGACGGUACCGCUAAAGGAAGCCCCGGCUAACCCCGCGCCAGCAGCCGCGGUAAUACGGGGGGGGCAAGCGUUGUUCGGAAUUAAUGGGCGUAAAGGGCUCGUAGGUUGCCAACUAAGUCAGACGUGAAAUCCCUCGGCUCAACCGGGGAACUGCGUCUGAUACUGGAUGGCUUGAAUCCGGGAGAGGGAUGCGGAAUUCCAGGUGUAGCGGUGAAAUGCGUAGAUAUCUGGAGGAACACCGGUGGCGAAGGCGGCAUCCUGGACCGGUAUUGACACUGAGGAGCGAAAGCCAGGGGAGCAAACGGG
RNAcentral lists this ribosomal RNA (426 nucleotides) under uncultured bacterium. RNAcentral's name for it is "bacterial SSU rRNA". It matches the Rfam family "Bacterial small subunit ribosomal RNA", at positions 359 to 776 of the family's 1533-position model. The record is from RNAcentral.